RNAcentral lists this ribosomal RNA (301 nucleotides) under uncultured bacterium. RNAcentral's name for it is "partial 16S ribosomal RNA". It matches the Rfam family "Bacterial small subunit ribosomal RNA", at positions 509 to 808 of the family's 1533-position model. The record is from RNAcentral.
CAGUAGCCGCGGUAAUACGUAUGUCACAAGCGUUAUCCGGAUUUAUUGGGCGUAAAGCGCGUCUAGGUGGUUAUGUAAGUCUGAUGUGAAAAUGCAGGGCUCAACUCUGUAUUGCGUUGGAAACUGUGUAACUAGAGUACUGGAGAGGUAAGCGGAACUACAAGUGUAGAGGUGAAAUUCGUAGAUAUUUGUAGGAAUGCCGAUGGGGAAGCCAGCUUACUGGACAGAUACUGACGCUAAAGCGCGAAAGCGUGGGUAGCAAACAGGAUUAGAUACCCGUGUAGUCCCUGUCUCUUAUACA